GUCAGUGUGACGUAGUGGUUUGAGUAUUGUACUGUAACUCUGGAGACCAGGGUUCGAUUGCCUGUUCAGCCA
Molecule: non-coding RNA, 72 nt
Organism: Phrynosoma platyrhinos (Desert horned lizard)
Lineage: Eukaryota; Metazoa; Chordata; Lepidosauria; Squamata; Phrynosomatidae
Source: the annotation of a GenBank genome assembly